RNAcentral lists this ribosomal RNA (253 nucleotides) under uncultured bacterium. RNAcentral describes it as "partial 16S ribosomal RNA". It matches the Rfam family "Bacterial small subunit ribosomal RNA", at positions 524 to 776 of the family's 1533-position model. The record is from RNAcentral.
GACGUAGGAGGCAAGCGUUAUCCGGAUUUAUUGGGCGUAAAGCGCGUGCAGGCGGUUUGGUAAGUUGGAUGUGAAAUCUCUCGGCUUAACCGGGAGAGGUCGUUCAAAACUACCAGACUAGAGAAUGGUAGAGGAAGGUGGAAUUCCGGGUGUAGUGGUGAAAUGCGUAGAUAUCCGGAGGAACACCAGUGGCGAAAGCGGCCUUCUGGACCAUUUCUGACGCUAAGAUGCGAAAGCUAGGGUAGCAAACGGG